RNAcentral lists this long non-coding RNA (267 nucleotides) under Mytilus galloprovincialis (Mediterranean mussel). The record is from RNAcentral. Lineage: Eukaryota; Metazoa; Mollusca; Bivalvia; Mytilida; Mytilidae.
UUUGUUUAGGGGGGCUAGGAUGAAAUUUGAAAAAAAUAGGCAGGACAGGAGUUUUGAGUAAAAAAAAAGGCAGGAUGAGACACUUGCGAAAAAAAAAGUCAGGACAACAAUUUAGGUAAAAAAAAGUCAGGAUAAACUAAAAAAAAAAAUGCAGGACCGAACAGAGUGAAAAAUAAAAAGGCAGGGCAGAGAUUACAGCUAAAAAAAAAUGCAGGACAAAAUUUUUCAUCCUAGUCCCCCCAUAAAAAUCAAAUGGUAGCUCCCUUA